Molecule: non-coding RNA, 84 nt
Filed under: Alicyclobacillus hesperidum
Lineage: Bacteria; Bacillati; Bacillota; Bacilli; Caryophanales; Alicyclobacillaceae
Description: c-di-GMP-II sequence
Rfam family: Cyclic di-GMP-II riboswitch aptamer
Source: Rfam by way of RNAcentral
UGUGAGCGUGGACACGAAGAUCCUAAGUCGGUAAAGUGGGCACAUAGACUUAGGGGAGUGAGUUGUGCAACCGGCCACCCGAUG